Molecule: ribosomal RNA, 546 nt
Filed under: uncultured bacterium
Lineage: Bacteria
Description: bacterial SSU rRNA
Rfam family: Bacterial small subunit ribosomal RNA
Source: RNAcentral
UGGGGAAUAUUGCGCAAUGGGGGGAACCCUGACGCAGCCAUGNCGCGUGAAUGAAGAAGGCCUUAGGGUUGUAAAGUUCUUUCGGUAUUGAGGAAGGUUGAUGUGUUAAUAGCACAUCAAAUUGACGUUAAAUACAGAAGAAGCACCGGCUAACUCCGUGCCAGCAGCCGCGGUAAUACGGAGGGUGCGAGCGUUAAUCGGAAUAACUGGGCGUAAAGGNCANGCAGGCGGUUAUUUAAGUGAGGUGUGAAAGCCCCGGGCUUAACCUGGGAAUUGCAUUUCAGACUGGGUAACUAGAGUACUUUAGGGAGGGGUAGAAUUCCACGUGUAGCGGUGAAAUGCGUAGAGAUGUGGAGGAAUACCGAAGGCGAAGCNAGCCCCUUGGGAAUGUACUGACGCUCAUGUGCGAAAGCGUGGGGGAGCAAACAGGAUUAGAUACCCUGGUAGUCCACGCUGUAAACGCUGUCGAUUUGGGGGUUGGGGUUUAACUCUGGCGCCCGUAGCUAACGUGAUAAAUCGACCGCCUGGGGAGUACGGCCGCAAGNU